GGUGCUGUGGCUUAGUUGGUUAAAGCGCCUGUCUAGUAAACAGGAGAUCCUGGGUCCAAAUCCCAGCAGUGCCU
Molecule: transfer RNA, 74 nt
Filed under: Ameiurus melas (black bullhead)
Lineage: Eukaryota; Metazoa; Chordata; Actinopteri; Siluriformes; Ictaluridae
Rfam family: tRNA
About the family: Transfer RNA (tRNA) molecules are approximately 80 nucleotides in length. Their secondary structure includes four short double-helical elements and three loops (D, anti-codon, and T loops).
Source: Rfam by way of RNAcentral